This 465-nucleotide ribosomal RNA is filed under the name Vreelandella stevensii. Its description in RNAcentral is "partial 16S ribosomal RNA". It matches the Rfam family "Bacterial small subunit ribosomal RNA", at positions 338 to 795 of the family's 1533-position model. Lineage: Bacteria; Pseudomonadati; Pseudomonadota; Gammaproteobacteria; Oceanospirillales; Halomonadaceae. The record is from RNAcentral.
CCUACGGGUGGCAGCAGUGGGGUAUAUUGGACAAUGGGCGAAAGCCUGAUCCAGCCAUGCCGCGUGUGUGAAGAAGGCCUUCGGGUUGUAAAGCACUUUCAGUGGGGAAGAAAGCCUUGGGGCUAAUACCCUCGAGGAAGGACAUCACCCACAGAAGAAGCACCGGCUAACUCCGUGCCAGCAGCCGCGGUAAUACGGAGGGUGCGAGCGUUAAUCGGAAUUACUGGGCGUAAAGCGCGCGUAGGCGGUCUGAUAAGCCGGUUGUGAAAGCCCCGGGCUCAACCUGGGAACGGCAUCCGGGAGUGUCAGGAGAGAGCGCAGGAGAGGAGGGAAGAAUCCCCGGUGAAGGGGGGAAAGGGGUAGAGAGCGGGAGGAAUGGAGGGGGGGAAGGGGGCCUCCGGGAGUGCCACGGGCGGGGGGGUGCAAAAGGGGGGGAAGAAAAAAGGGUCAGAGCCCCGAUAAGUC